RNAcentral lists this ribosomal RNA (417 nucleotides) under uncultured bacterium. RNAcentral describes it as "bacterial SSU rRNA". It matches the Rfam family "Bacterial small subunit ribosomal RNA", at positions 362 to 776 of the family's 1533-position model. The record is from RNAcentral.
UAUUGGUCAAUGGACGAGAGUCUGAACCAGCCAAGUAGCGUGAGGGAUGACUGCCCUAUGGGUUGUAAACUUCUUUUAUAUGGGAAUAAAAUGUUCCACGUGUGGGAUUUUGUAUGUACCAUAUGAAUAAGGAUCGGCUAGCGCCGUGUCAGCAGCCGCGGUAAUACGCAGGAUCCGAGCGUUAUCCGGUUUUAUUGGGUUUAAAGGGAGCGUAGGUGGAUUGUUAAGUCAGUUGUGAAAGUUUGCGGCUCAACCGUAAAAUUGCAGUUGAAACUGGCAGUCUUGAGUACAGUAGAGGUGGGCGGAAUUCGUGGUGUAGCGGUAAAAUGCUUAGAUAUCACGAAGAACUCCGAUUGCGAAGGCAGCUCACUGGACUGCAACUGACACUGAGGCUCGAAAGUGUGGGUAUCAAACAGG